AUUCCAGCUCCAAUAGCGUAUAUUUAAGUUGUUGCAGUUAAAAAGCUCGUAGUUGGAUUUCGGAUGGGUUUGACCGGUCCGCCUUUGGUGUGCACUGGUCGCGCCUAUCUUGCUGCCGGGGACGUGCUCUUGGGCUUCGGCUCGGGACACGGAGUCGGCGAGGUUACUUUGAGUAAAUUAGAGUGUUCAAAGCAGGCCUACGCUCUGAAUACAUUAGCAUGGAAUAACACGAUAGGACUCUGGCCUAUCUUGUUGGUCUGUAGGACCGGAGUAAUGAUUAAGAGGGACAGUCGGGGGCAUUCGUAUUUCAUUGUCAGAGGUGAAAUUCUUGGAUUUAUGAAAGACGAACUACUGCGAAAGCAUUUGCCAAGGAUGUUUUCAUUA
RNAcentral lists this ribosomal RNA (384 nucleotides) under Trebouxiophyceae sp. RNAcentral describes it as "partial small subunit ribosomal RNA". It matches the Rfam family "Eukaryotic small subunit ribosomal RNA", at positions 582 to 975 of the family's 1831-position model. The record is from RNAcentral. Lineage: Eukaryota; Viridiplantae; Chlorophyta; Trebouxiophyceae.